Non-coding RNA from Equus caballus (horse), 16505 nucleotides. The record is from RefSeq and is a predicted model, not a curated record. Lineage: Eukaryota; Metazoa; Chordata; Mammalia; Perissodactyla; Equidae.
UACAGCCUGGGAGGGUGAGCGUCAUGGCGGCUCCGUGCCCGCUCCCAGCGACCCAGGAGCUGUCCACGUUGCAUGCCAAGUUGCAGGGGCUGCUGCGGUUCCUGAGGGAAGCCCUAGCCAUUUCGAAUGCGCAUACGGUGGACUUCUACACGGAGUCCCUCUGGGAGCAACUGGUCGACCUGCCGCCGGAGACGGUACUGGCGGUGCUGAGGAGCUCGGCGGCCGAGACGGAGGCCCGGCCGUCGGAGGCGCGCCCCCUGGUGGAAGGCGAGAGGGAAGCAGGUAUUACUGAUUUUCCCAAAAUAUUUUGUGAAACUUCCCAGAAGCUGGUGAGUGUGGAAGGCUUUGCUCUGGCUGCAAAAUAUUAUUCUAUACAAAACUUGGGAAUAUGUACUCCUUUUGAACAGUUACUUGUAGCCCUUCGAGGAAAUCAAAAACAGAGAACUGGUGAAAAUGUGAAACCAGAUGAGUUUAUGAAUUUGAAAAAAUCUCACGAAGUUCAGGCAAUGUCAGAGGUGAUCAGCAGUGUUGCUGAGUACUGUGGAAUAAAACAGGUAAUUGACCUGGGUUCUGGAAAAGGCUACCUAAGCUCCUUUUUGUCUUUGAAGUAUGGGUUAAAAGUUUAUGGAAUCGAUUCCUCAAAUACCAAUACUCAUGGAGCUGAGGAGAGAAACAGGAAAUUGAAGAAACAUUGGAAAGUCUAUCAUACUCGGUCAAAAUUAGAUGUCAAUGGACUGGUGUUAAAAAUGGCAAAAGAAAGGAAAGUGCAAGAUGGAAUUAACUGUAAAGCAGAUAUUGAGGGAGAUUGUGACAGCAGUCCCGCGAAUCAAGAAGAGAAGUGUACCUCAGAUUUUUUGCCAGAUUUUUCAGGCUCUGUAAUUUCUAACAUCAGAAAACAAAUGGAAAACCUACAUGUUCAUUCACAUCAAGAAGACAAUUUGUGUUUUGGAAAUGCAUUUUCUCUUAUAGACCUUUUGCCUAUUAAUGCCAUAGAACCUACUUCUUCAUGCCGGAUACCUAAGAGAAAAAUGUCUGAAGCAAAUAAAGAGAGAAGAAAAACAACAUCGAAGUCAAAUGAAUCAAAUAUAUAUUCACCUUUAACAUCGUUUAUCACUGCUGACUCAGACCUAAAUGAUAUUAUUAAAGAUCUGGAGAAUUGUUUGAUGGUAGGUCUACAUACUUGUGGUGAUCUUGCUCCAAAUACUCUGCGAAUAUUUACUUCCAAGUCUGAAAUCAAGGGAGUUUGCAGUGUGGGUUGUUGUUACCACCUCUUAUCUGAAGAAUUUGAAAACCCGCCUAAAGAAUGUACUCAACAAAAGUGGGGAUUUCCAAUGUCCUGCUAUUUAAAGGAAGAAAGAUGGUGCUGUGGUCGUAAUGCCAGAAUGUCAGCCUGUUUGGCGUUGGAGCGGGUUGCAGUUGGCCGAGGGCUGCCCACCGAAUCACUCUUCUAUCGUGCUGUACUUCAGGAUAUUAUUAAAGAUUGUUAUGGCAUCACCAAAUGUGAUCAGCAUGUUGGUAAAAUUUAUUCCAAAUCCUCUUCCUUUCUGGAUUAUGUCAGAAAGUCUCUAAAGAAGCUUGGAUUAGAUGAAUCCAAGCUGCCAGAAAAAAUUAUAAUGGACUACUACGAGAAGUAUAAGCCUAGAAUGAAUGAGCUGGAAGCUUUUAAUAUGUUGAAAGUUGUUCUGGCUCCUUGUAUAGAGACACUGAUUCUUCUGGAUCGACUUUGCUACCUGAAAGAGCAGAUAUUGCAUGGUCUGCGCUUGUAAAGUUGUUUGAUCCUGUGAAAUCUCCCAGAUGUUACGCUGUUAUUGCUCUGAAGAAGCAGCAGUGAUAAUUGAAGCAAGCCCUGUGGUCUCCACACUUUGGUGGGCCGACGAAUUAAGGUAUAGUUUUAUAUUCAAAAGAAAAUAAAUAAACAAACCAAAAAAUGUAAGUGUAUUUUCCAUAGAAAUAUAUUCUCAUAGGAAACACCUUUAAGAGAUCCUUCAGCUCACUGUUCACAGGUUUAAAAAAAAAACUUAUUCGACGAUAAAAAUCCCAUUGACAUUCCAAAUUAUCUAUUUUUGUUUUUACUACUUCAGGUAAUAUAUUUCAUACUUAGCUUUUAUUGUCUUAUAAAUAUAUGAUGUUAUAAUCAGAACUUUGCAAUUUAAAGUUAAAAUUUGCAGCUCAAGGUCACUUUUGAAGGAAUUGAACACUAAUGGUAGUGGUUAAUUAUAACUUACUUAAGAAUAUUAAUGAAAACCAAGAAGCUUCCUGCACAAGAUACUAACUUUAAUUUUAAAGUAAAUCUUAAUAUAAUUACUAAAAAUAAACCUAAAGGUAAUUGCUAAUUUAUUAAAUCCCGAAUACUGUGGCGUUUUACAUAUCAUAUAUACAAGGGCCACCAAAAGAAUCAGAGGGGGGAUUUUAUGAAGAGAUUUACUUAUAAAUGAAAUUUGAAAGUUCCAAAGCAAAAUUUCAAAAACAGCCGACCAAACAAAUGUCCAAAUACCGUACUGGUAAGGCAAAAACAUUCCGAAAAGCUGGUAGGCAUAUAGCAAUGCCUAAGACUUCAACAUUACAAUUACAGAGUAUGUUUCUUAGUUACCAGUACUGAUCUUACUGGACAUUAGAAUAGUAAAUAAAAUUGUAAGAAAUUAUUCUAAUAUACAGUACCACUUCUUUUUAAAUUGGCAUUCACCACAGUGUAUGCUUCCUUGUCCAAAGCUUAGUUUCCAGAUGUAGAAACGAUAUGAGAAGCAAAAAUUAAGCAGGAAACUCUCUGCAUCUCUUCUUUUCCUCAAGUAAAAUGAGCUUAGAGUCUUAGUACUCAAAAAUGCAGUCCACAGACCAACAGCAUCGGCAUCACCUGAGAGCUUGUUAAAAAUGCAGACUCUCAGAUCUACUCAGUCAGAAUGGGCAUUUUACCCAGACCUACUCAAUCAGAAUGGGCGUUUUCAGAUCCCCAAGUGCUUAACAUUUGAGAAGACAGCCUUAAAGUGGGUCCUCUCAGAUGGUUUUAUGCCCCAAAACACAGAAGGUCCUGCCACGCUCCAUAGUGUCUGCUGCGUUCCAAGGUUGGUGAGCAUGUAAAUCACAAAAUGCACCCACAUCUUGGCUCAUGAGGUCUGUAUCUAAGAAGAUUAGGUCCCCGUCUCUUCAGCCACUGACAAAGAAUAAAUACAAAGGAGACCAGAAUUUCCCAAAUCUCUUCUGCCUUCAGCUGGCAUUCUUUAACAGGGAUUACUCCAGGAGGAUUGGUUAAUAAAUUUUGGUUUUGAAUUAUGUUUUGCAUCCAUUUCUCCCAAAUGACUGUAGCGAUGUCUUUUAAUUAUAAGGUAAACUAUUGAAUUGAAAGUAAAACUUAAGAAUAUGAAAAUGCUCUGUAUGAUCCGUACAUCUAUCAUAAAACUCUGACUUGUAAAAAAUAUAUAUAGCAAUUAGGAACAGCUCUUCAGAAGGCCUUUAUAUCUUUUGGUGGGCUCUCCACACCAUAUGCUGUACCUUUCCUGUUUCUCUGUGAUUAUCAUAUUUUUUCACCCAUGGGAUCUGUUCAUAUUAAUAAAGGUAGCAAAUAGUUGGCAUUGGAAUUUGCACAGAAUUUAUUAAUAAAAUCAAGAUACAGUGAAUUUAUUGGGGCAAACAAAUCAGGUUCCUGGGCUAACACUCAAAUUGCCUUCACAUACAAGCUGUCAUUUUUACAAAUCCAUGAAAACUGAGCAAGGGACUUGGCUCUUGAAUAUAUGGUCAGGCUAUUUAAAACUUUUUACUUUUCCUCUUUUUGUUAAAAAAAUGAAGAUUCUAUAUUUAAAUUACUGAUAUUCCCACCACUGAAUAGUUAUUUUCAUUUGGUCCAAAUGCAUACAUUUUUUACAUUUGCAUUAACAGUCAGUAUAGCAUUUUAUGUUCUGCCUCUUUUACUUUACAUUAUCUAAGAAGCAUUUUCCCAUGAUGCUAUACCUGCCUUCAGGAUGAUCAUUUUUAAUGACUUCGUAAGAAUCCAUCCUAAUGAGAUAUGUUCCAUUUACCCAUUAUUUUGUUGUUAAACCUGUAGGUUGUUUCUCACCUCUUGCUGUUGCACUCAGGACUUCUGUGAAUGCCUUUGAGCCUUUGGGAUGAUUCUUUUCUACAAUUAUUUACCCUCUAAGGAUAUAUUCCCAGAAGUAGGAUUGCUAGUUAAAGGCUGAUUAUAUAAUUAAGUGCAUUUUAUACAUUACUAUUUAGGAGCUCUGUUUUUUCAAACCCCUUUGAAACUGCUAGGGCCAAAUUUUGCAUUUUGAAAGAAAUAUAUAGGACCUUGAAUUUAGUUGUUCUCAUAAAAGCUGCCAGCUUGGGAAAUCAUAGGUGGUUAAACAUAGGAUACACAGACAGCUUCAUGACAGUGAACUGCAAACCUUGACUAUUCUCCUGCCUAGAUAUUUAUAUAUAAAAUACAGGGAAACACAGGCAAGCAAUCUAUUAAUAACUUGACAGAAAUCAGUUCAGAUAACUGAAGUCUGCCAGAUAACUGUGCCAAUAAACAAUUCAAAUAUACCCUCCAAAAAUACACAAGUGAAUUUUUAAAAACCUAUAACUUAAUCUUUGUUGAAAACUCUGUUUUUUCCUGCCCCUAGAAACUGCCUCCAAUCUAGUAAAUGCUAAAAGCAUAUAGUCUAAGCGAAAUUAUGAACAGACACAGAAAGCCAAUUUAAACAGAUGUCAUAAUCAAAAAAAUUUUACCCCACUUACAGUAUUAGUUAAUAGAUGUCAGAAUGGCUAGCUUGACAGGAAGAGAAGAAUGGGGCCACUUCAGUUAUAGAUUUCAUGGAGUCCCCCCAGAAGUUCCAUUUUUAUUGGCCUCUUCUGUUCAGUUCAAAGGUGUUGUACAAGUCCCUUCCUGGCAAGCAGGGACACAUCAUCAAUUUCUUUGACAGCUUUGAAACUCUACUAUUCAAAUUGCUCUUUCACCAUCGCAGUCUCCAUGGAAGGUUCCAGUAUGUUAACAUAAUUCCAGAUUCUCCAUUCUCAAGUGUGCUGGCAUCUGAGCAGCUCUCUGAAGGAGUCUUCUUAAAUGACCAGAUCUGUUUAAAAAAUUUUAGAGGUCACUCCAACUUUAUAUUUCUCUUAUACACAUACAUACCAUUCAUACAGAGUGUCCUUGGCAACUACUCAAUUUUUAAAAGGUUUUUUAAACUCCAAAUGACAUGAUGGAUUAUAACAAUAAUGCCAGCUAAAUAUUUAUUGAGUGCCUACCCUGUGCUAGGUGCUGUUCUAAGCACUUUAUAUUUAUUAACUUAUUUAAUCCUCACAACAAUCCCUAGAGGAAGGGACUAUAUUACUUCUGCUGUUUUACUGACGAGGGAAUUGAGACUCAGAGAAGUCAAGCAACUUGCUCCAAGUAGGAAUAGGCAGGAAGAGAGCUAGGGAAUGGUAAAGUCAAGAUUCAAAUCCAAGCGUUCUGACUUGAGAGUCUAACCACUUAACCACUACAGAUACUGUCUUACCUCUUGAUUAUUUGAGAGUCUUCUGUAUUGCUCUUUCAUUUUUUCAGUUUCCUCUGGGGGAAAGCAAGAUAUUGGUGGAUGCAUAGCCCUACAGACCUCAAGCAAUUGAGGGUUUCUUGGUUGCCCUGCCUCUGAAUGGGUAGGUCUCCCUAAUCUACCAGUCGGAUGGAACUGUUUUUGCAAAUGGCCAGAAUAAUAUUUAUAUUAUUCUUAGACAGAAACCUAGAAAAUGUCUCAUUAUUAAAAUGAAGCAAAAUGUGUACAACUAAAAUCAUAUGUAAAUUGGUUUUGAAUUUUCUGCCCAAAAUAGUAUAUAUUUGCUUCAUUUUUUAUAUUGAAAAAUUAAAGCUGAGAGUUAAGGGCACUUUCCAAAAAAUUACCUAGCUAAAACUUUGACAUGCUAAAACUCAAAAUAAAUGACAAUUAUAUAUAGUGUUCAAACAAGGCCAUUCAAUGACUUGUUUGGAAAAAGACAGACAAGAUCAUUCUCAAAAUCCUCUCUUCUAACUAACACGUAACUGCCACUUUUUAGCAGUGACUACUCCAGGCCCACUUUAAUCAUCCUGCCUACAUAUAAAAAAAGUAAGACCAGUGAUUGAAUUUCCCCAGCCCCUGACAACAUCCAAUUCAUAACUGGACCCCAUGUUUUUAAAUCCUCCCUACAACCAUGGAAUACAAGCCCAAGUCUUAUAAGAAGCUCCUGAAAACUUUUUUACUGAGACAACCCCCAGUUCCUCUUAAGUGCACUCCCCCUGGCUGCAGUAAGUGAAAUAAAUCUAACUCUGACUACUGUUAUGUUCCUACUGCUCUUUGGCAGAUGGGCUAUAGCAGAUUUUAGAUUGUUUGACUAGAGGAAAGGUGGUGCUAGGGUACACUGAAAAGCAAUAUUUGAGAGAAGAUUGAAAAUUGCAUUUUAUACAUAUUGAGUUUAGGAUGCUUUUGAGAAAUUCAUAUGAUGUUAAAGAAGCACUGGUCUGCAAAGGUCUGUAGAACAAAGAGGAAGCCUGGAUACAAAUUUAGAAGUUACCAACAUUCAGAUGGAAAUUGAAGCUAUGAUGUGGAUGAGAUCACUCAGUACAAAAAGCAAAGGGAGGGAAGAAUGGGAACUAGGACCGAAUCUUCAAUAACUCUAAUAUGAAGGUUCUGUAGAGAAGGAUGAACAACAAAGAAGGCUGAGAAAGCACAUUCAGAAACAAAGCAGAAAGACCAAGAGAAUGUCAUCACAAGAACUAAGAAAAAGGCUAUUUCAGGGCCUUUGGAGAGAUCAAUGGUUGAAAGCAUUUGAGACAUCAAGUCAGUAGAGAAGGGAAGAAGUCCCUUUGGAGUUCAUCAUUGAUAUUUUUUAUGAGAGAUUUUUCAGAGUUGUGAUGGAAGCAGAAGCCAUAUUAAGUGGACGAAGGGUAAGUAUGAGGUAAGUUAAGUGAAGAAAGAAAAAGGGUCUUCCAGAAAGAAGAGUUUGAUAGAGGUAUAAAUAGUGGUUAAGAGAAUGGAUUCUAGAGAGAAAAUGAUAGACUUCAAAUCCCAAUUGUGUCUUUUACUAGUUGUGUGACCUUGCUUGGACUCCUUAACUUACUUGUGCCUCAGUUUCUUCAUGUGUCAACUGGGAGAAAAACAGUAACUGACCACAUGGGCUUGUCAGAGGAAUAGAUCAAUUAAUGGAAUUCCUUGUAUCUAGUAACCUCUCAAUAAAUAUUAGCAACAAUUAUUGUGAAAACAUGAAAUAGCAUGAUGCUAGUAGGGGCUUGAAAGUAGACCAAUGUGAAUGGUGAGUAUGGAGAUAAGACCAGAGAGGUUGACAGGGUCCUAAGCACAGAAGAUCUUGAAUGCCAUGCUAAAGAGGUAGAUUUUCUCUCAAGGCAUAGGAAGUCAUUGAGGGAGUUUAAGAAGAGAGUGAUGUCAUUAUAUUUCUAUUUUAGAAAAAUCACUCAGACUGUAGGCUAGAGGAUGGAUCAGAGUAGGACUGAGCUGAAGGCUGAGACAGCAGUUAGGAGCCUAUUUCAGAAACUUAAAUGAAAAGUGAUAUUGCCUAGAUUAAGGCAGAGAAAGUAGAAAUAGAGAAAAAAAUGAAUCGAGGUAAACGAUCAUGAUUUGGUUACUGAUUGGAUACUGUAGGUGAGAGAGAGAAUGACAUCUAGGAUACUUACUGUUCUCCUCCCCCCAAAUUUCUAGCUUGGGUUGCUAGCUGAGUAGUAGUGACAUUUACUCAGGAAGAAGGUCUAGGAGGGACAAAAGGUGAAGGGGUUGCUUGGGAAUUAGGAUUAUCAUUCAAUUUUGGAUAUGCUGUGUCUGCGGAACACCCAAAUGAUGAAGAUAUCCAUGUACAACCUAGAACCAAUAAGAAAGUUUGAGCUCAAGAUCUGUAAAUAGUUGUUUAAAUCAUGAGUAUUCCAGUGGUUACUGAGGAAGAAUGUCUAGAGAGAGAAUAGUGCUUGAAAGAAACUAUUAUUCAGUGAGUUUAUCUAGGAAAAUAACAUCAGUUGACGAUAGACAAAUGCUAAAUCUUAUUGAGAGUUUGGUAGAAGAUAAAUGAUGGCAACUGCUAUGGCUAACUACCAUCCUCAAAUCUGGUUCUUUAUUUAAGAGUGGAGAGUUAAUGACGAGGAGCAACAAUGGGGACCAAGAAGAAAGCUAACCCCUCUCUCCUCCACUCAGCCUCCCAAGCCUCUCCUCCUGGUCCAUGUUGUGUGAAAAAAUAAUCAUCCUGUAGUGGAGAGAGUGGCAAGGAAAGUAGUUACUUCUAUAAUACCUUGAGAUUUAGCCUAGCUUCAGGAAAGUAGGUGUUUGGUGAAAAAGGGGAUGGAACAGGGUGUUGGUUUUCUCUAAAGCAGGAUUUCCAGAAGGCCUCAGUGGAAAAAGAUGGCAGCAGUGGGAGAAUGAAUGAGAAGGAGGCUGGAGGGGCAAGUGUUCUCUCCUUUGGGGAAGAAUGACAAGAUGAAGGCAUGUAAUUCCAAGUUUUUGGUGAUUCAAACAGAGGCCAUUAGAGGCCUCAGAUGGUCGCUUUCUUUCUCUGUUGAUGAUGAUUACCUCGGCCCAGGUAGUAGAUGUUGCACGCUGAACCCAAGUUAACCCUUUUCCUUACCUUCUUGCCUGAUGUGCUCUACUCACAUUUCACAACCCUCCUCAAAUGUCACUUUCUCUGGAAAUCUUGCCCAGCUGACCUUGGCAAGCUUAAUUUUUUCUUCUUCUCAGCUUCCACAGUAUAUUGGUAUACCUGUGUCAUUAUAAGUAAAAUAUUCCCACUCUACAGUGGAACUCAAAGCAAUGUACAUGAUUUGCCCAAGGUGACCCAGGUUUUCUGACUCUAAGAUCAGUACUCUUUCAUGACAUCAUUGUUCUCCUUCUCCCCGGGAACAGAGAGGAACCUCAUGACUACAAAAUUUUAGCCACAGUUUGUCAUUUUUUUACAAAAAUCAAGAAAGUGUAUAAAGGUAGGUGUUAGAUAAGGUUCGCAUAAGAUCCUGUGUUCUGAUUACCCAGUAAUGAGAGGUCUUAUGCCAGGAUAGCCAAAUGCAGACUGGAACCUGACUUAGAUUAGGAUUCUGGCUUGUCAGCCUCAUUCAAAGGCAGAACUCUGGUUAUGAGCAUAUAAUGGAUAUAGGCAGGAUAUUAAGAAAUUAGUGAGAAAAUAAUUACACUCAAACAAUUUUUAAAAAUAACAUUAAAUAUUGAAUUGGGAAGCCUGUGCUCUAUUCCUGGUGUUGCCACAAGAUAUGUGACACUGCACGAAUCAUUUCACCUCUCUAGGUCUCAGUUUCCUUAUUUCUAUAAUGAGAGAGAUAGAGUCAAUGAUUUCUAAGAUAUCUUUUAAGUAGCCCAUGACACCACAGCCAUAGCUAGUUUGAGGAGCAGAGUGCAGGCUGGGUGGGCCACCCCAGAAUGCAGAGCUGGCAGAAACCCCUGUAAACAGAUCAACAUCAUAGAUCACUCCAAUGAAAGUUAUGCUGUGAAGCAACUCUGCCAGCAGCCUGGCUUUCCCUGCUGAGCUGCACUCAACAGCAGAGUCUUCGCAGUCUUAAAGGACCAAGACAGUACUCUACAUUUGAUUUUCUAUGGGAUUACUUUGGGGGAUCUCAGGAUCUGCGGGAGUAAUUGGUUAUCAGUUAACUCUUAGUGAGAAGAGAAGAGAAGGGAGUGAGGGAGAAAGACUUUGCAGAGUAAAUUUCAGUGCCCUUUGCCAAGGGCAAGAGAAGGUAUCAACAUCACCCCCCUUCUUUUCCUUUAUAUUAUAGAGUUUGAGGUAAAGACCCUGGUUGAGGGGAAGCCACAACUCUAUGUCUCCACUUCCUUCCCUCAUUCACUGCCAACUCACAGCAAACAGAUGCUUCCCCCCCAUCCCAGCAACUGGCACAUGCCCCAGCUGGCAUCCAUAUCACCAAAUCCAAAGGACUCUCUUGACCAUACUUUGGAGUCUGCCACUGCUGAGGACUCCCAUCCUUAAGCUUUCCUAAACUACAGAUUUAACCUUCAACCUAACUAGCCACAAUUUUUUCUCCUUGCCCGUAUCUCCUGCCAAAGGGGUGAACUCAGCCAGCUAUGUUUAAUACCCAAGACUCUCAGGACCACAGGUGAUGGGACCACACCUGGUCAUGGCAGCUGAGAUCCCUGGUGUGACCUGGCUCAAAAAGAAGAAUUAGACCUCUCAGAUUCUCUCAUUCUCAGGAUGGAUGAUUCUAGAAGCAAUAUAUGACCAGGUAAAGCCAAAAUUACAAGGGUCAGAAACUAUUAAUGAGCAGAGGAAGAGAUCAUGAGAGAGAAGAGAUAAAGCCAAAAAGAGAGAGAGAAAUACAAAGGCCAUAGAUUGAGAGAGAUGGAAGGGACGUUUGACCCCCAAGAGUUGCUUCCCGGAAGCCAAAGGAGCCACUGCUCCUACAGUUUUCCCCUUCCACUAUCUGUACCCUCCUAGUCUUCUUUGCAUACUCUUCUCUAUUUGUCCUUUAAAUAUUAGUGUUUCCCACCGGGGGUUCUGACCUUGGCCCUUUUUUAAUCUACAAACUUUCUAAGGUACAUGGUCUUGGCUUCCAAAACUACCUGUAUCUGAUGAUGCUCAAAUCUUAAUUUUUAGGCUAGGUUUCUCUCCUAAUCUCUCUCCUGAGCGCUAGACUUGUUUAUCCAAAUGCCUGACGGACAUUGCCACUCCCAGUGGGCAUUCCCCUGGCACUUCAAAAUCAACAUGUCUAAAAUUAAACUUUCCUGUCAUACCUACUUUUCCUCUAAUACUCCUUUUUCAGUGAAAGAAACUUUCAGCUGAAAACCAAAUUCACCCUAGACUUCUCUCUCCUUGCAACCCAUUUGAACUUUAAAUCAUAUUCAUUCCACCUCUUUCUCUCCCCUCCCUCUUCUCUCCAGUCCCCCUGCUACUCUCUAAGUUCAGGGCCUUAUAACCACCCUCUUGGAUGCCUUGGCAUUGAUCUCCUACCCCUGCUUAUAACUCUUCUGUGGCCUUCCCAUUUUCUUACAGGAAAAUCCAAACCCUUUAGCAUGGCAUCCAAAUCCUCCAUGAUGCUUCGGCUGGCUACUUCCUCAGCAUCAUCUCUGCUGCACUGCAUCUAACCCCAGUUUCAACUUAUCCAGACCUUCUGUGACUCCCACAACAUCUCCAGUUGUUGCCUCCAUCUGGACUUUGCUCUCACUUAUCCCUCUUGUGGGAAGGCUAAAGUUCCUUUCUCUUCCCGUCAACACUUUCCGAUGUUGAUCUUCAAUAUUUAUGAUUCUUCCCCACAUUUAAAUCACUGUCUUUUUAUUAUGUCCCAACUAUAUUCUGUACAGCUGACUAUGACAGCAUCAAUGUCACUUUAUUGCACUUAAUUUUAAAACUUUUGGAUUCCUCUAUUCGACCUAGAGGGACAGAAAAUACAUCAUUUUUACUGUUUGUCCUACGCCUAAAAGUGGAAGCAUUCAGAACAUGCUGUGGAGGGAAGGAAGGCAACAAAUACACUGAUCCCUCAUGGAUCAAAAACUAGCCUCGCCUCUGAGAGAAAAAAGUAAUGCUGGGUUUCCUGCUAUGUGUCAAUUCCUGUGGGAAGCAUAUGCUGAUAUUCUGCCCACACCUCCACCAAUCACCCAGUGUAAGGGUAAAAACAUCAUCUAGGUCACCCGACGUGUGCCCAUUAGAGCACAAGAACAGCGCGUGCUCUGCUUCCCUGCCCAUCUGCCCGCAGGACCGGACCUAAGCUCCUCAAAGGCGGGACCAUCUGAUACACCUUGAAUCUCCAGAUUCGAGCACUGUCAAGUUUCAUGGUUAACAAAGGUUUAUUAAUGAAAUGAACUAAUAUAAUGUCAUAUUGUAUAACAUCUUCUAUUAUAUAUUACGUAUAGUUUAAGAUGAAAUAAAGCAAAGCUGGUAAUACUGAAAUAUUCUAAACUGGAGCUGUAAUGACAUUUUCAACAAGCGUCUGAGGGUGGAGGAUGACCCAAGCAGAAGGUCUGGGAAAUGGGUGGCGAACCGUUUCUGUGCUGGAGACUGUUAACAGUCUGGAAAUGCCUGUAGGUCCCUUCUCAAAUGAUUUUUUUUAAAUACAUAGUGAAAUGCAUAAUAUGACAAAGGAAAUCAGUCCAUGUUGAGUUAGUUACCAAAAGAGGGUUUUCGUUCUUCUUGUUGUUUUACGUAGCAUGAUUUUUUAAUUUAUUAAUUAUUUUUAAAGCUAUCACAAACAGCCCUCUGGAAAUGGUGGCCCAUUCCUUGUCAUAAUUGUUCUCUUCUGAAACAAGGUCCAGGGUAGGCACAUACAUACUAUGGAGCAGAGCUUUGUGAAAGCGUGAAUAGCCCAACUAAUCUAAAAUGUUGGGGCCUCUGGAGAGAUGAUUGGAAUGACUGAGAUUCUCAUGCUACAAUCCAAAAGAGAAAAAUCCAAAAUGCAGUCGUUCCACAGGAUAUUGAUACAUUCCCAACUUGCCAAAGUGCACUUCACAAGCAAUGCUUGUCUUCAUCUGUAACUUUAAUUUCAAUUAUUUUAUUUUUCAUUUGAAAAGUUCUAUUUGGUUCUCCAAAAGAGUUUGUAAAAACAAUAAUUUAGUAAUAAAUGUGUUUAUUAACUCACUAAAUAACAAGAUCAAGUAACAGUUCUAAAAACUACUAUAAUUUUGACAUAACAAUAAUGUGAACAAUAUUUGAAGAUAGCCACAACUAAUAUGUUAUGAAAAUAUCUAUGAUAUGAAGUAUGUAAUAUUGUAAUAUGAUAUGAAAAUAUCUGUACCUUCCAUUGACAACGGAGUCUCAGCUGCAGCCAAUACUACUAAGGUUUGUUGUCCACAUCUAUAACUGAAAGAAACACUCAAUUUCAGUUGGAGGUUAGUGAAAAUAAAGAAGUAAUUUUUCUGCAGGAUCCUAGCUCAUGGAUGCCCUUAAUUCUCUCUGCGGAUCCCCUGGUUUCAGUAAACCCACAGUGUGUGCAAACAGGGAAACAGACGACUGAAAGUAACAACCAAGGGUAGGAACUCUUCCAUCUCGGAGGAACGGUAUCUUUCCAAAUCAGUACAAGCCCCUUCCUACAUUCUGCCAUAAACAGCCACUUCAGGAGCACUUAGGUUUGUGAAGGAUGUCAGUAUUCACUGUAUUUAUUUAAAAUGUAAACGUUUACAAGACUUAGUAUACAGCUACAGUAAUCAAGACAGUGUGGUAUUUUUCAAAGGAUAUCAGUGAAUUAACUAGUGAGUUCAGAAAGAGACCCACACGUAUUUAGUCAGUUGAUUUUUGACACAGGUGCCAAAGCAAUUCAGUGAGAUAAAAUACUCUUUUCAACAAGUGGUGCUAAUAAUUGGAAAUCAAAAUAAAUUUUAAAAAAAAGAAUCUCAACCUUUAUCACAUAUUACAUACGAAAAAUUACUUGAAAUGGAUUUUAGUCCUAAAUAUAAGAGUGAAAACUAAAAAACUUCUGGGAAAAAAAAUUUUUUUUUUCACAAAAAAAUGUAAGCUUUGGUUAAGGAAAGAUUUCUUAGGACAAAAAACAAAUAUGAACAUAUGCAAAAAAUUUGACAAAUUGGACUUCAUCACAUUUAAAAUGUCUGUUAUUCAAAAGACAGUGUUAAGCAAAUGAAAAGACAGACCACAGAUAGGUAAACAAACAAAAAAAAAAUUGCAAAGCACAUACCUGAUAAAGAGCUUGUGUGCAGAGAACAUAAAUAAUAAGAUAACUCAGCAAAAAGAAAGGCAAAAGAUUUGAACAAAGAUUUCACCAGGGAAGAUACACAAAUGGCAAUAAACAUAUGUAAAAAUAUUCAACAUCGUUAAUCAUUAGGGAAAUAUGAAUUAAAAGCACAGGGAGAUACCACUACACACCCAUUAGAGUGGCUAAAAUUAAAAGGACUGAUAAUACUAACUGUUGGAGACAAUGAAGAAAAACUGGAGCCCUAAUACACUGCUGAUGGGGACGCCAAGAAGACAGCCAUUUUGGAGAAGAAUUUGGCAGAUUUUUAUGAAGUUAAAUGUAUACUUACCAUAUGACCCAACAAUUCCACUCAUAGAUAUUUAACCAAGAGAAAUGAACAUAUAUGUCCACACAGCAAAUGUUAAUAGUUACUUCACUCCUAGAGCCAAAAGUCCAUUAACAGCAGAAUGGAUAAAAAUAUUGGGGUAUAUUCAUUCAUACAGCGGAGUACUUCUCAGCAACAAAAAGCAGUGAACAACGUGGAUGAAUUUCCAAAGCAUAACACUAAGUGGCUAGUGAAAUAAGCCAGACACAGUAGACUACAAGCCAUAUGGUUUUAUUUAUAUGACAUUCUAGAAAAGUUAAAACUGUAGAAUCACUGCUUGCCAAUGGGCUGGGGUGAAGGGAGGGAUUGUAUACAACGAGGGGCGAGGGAACUUUCCGGGGUGAUGAAAAUGUGCUAUAUGUUAAUUUGGGUGGUGAAGAUACAACUUCUAUGUUUGUCAAGAUUCAUUAAGCUGUACACUCAUAAAGGGUGAAUAUUAUUGCAUGUAAAGUAUAUCUCAAAAAAACCUGACUUUUAAAGAAAUCUUAAAGUUUUAUCAGAGAGAAAAUAUAAACAAUAUUUUAUUACUAGAGCUGAAUUGUCCUUUUAAAGAAUUUAAUCUCAGGAUUUUCCCCCCAAAAUGAAAGGCAUUUGUGCAUGCUCUAAAUACGGAGAGGAACAGAUGCAUUGGCUCAGUGUCUUACUGAGUUUGUAUGCUAUUUGGAAAUUGGAUUGCUUUGACAAAUUACUUACUAGCCAGGAAAAGCAUUAAAGGAUUAUUUGUCCGCCUUGAUUUCAAAUUUUUCCCUAAUGAUAAAAUCAUUUGAAAUAAAAGAGGGCAGCCAAAGUAGUUUUACUCAGGGAGAUAUUAUUUCAUACACAGAUGCAUCAGAAACAGUAUAAGCAAGAAAAGGAAAUAUUCUCUAAUAUUUAAAUUUUUUUACUUACUUUAAGUGUUAUAGAUAAUAGUAGCAAACAGUUUCAAUCCUAAAUAGCACCUAAUUCAGAAUUCCUUUUAAGUGCUUCUCAACUUAAAGACUUGAAAUCAUGUGUGGGUGUGGGUGUUGUAAACUUCACGUUGUAAUUUGAAUCUUUACUUCCCAGUCCAUUUUAAUACCUACUUUAGUGCUAACUACUUGAGGAUGCUAUCGGGUUAUAUCACUGUUUUUACUUGUUUAUGUUCUCUAAUGUUUUCCUACUGCACUAUAGAACAUUUUGCUUUAAUAGGAUUCUAUGUACUUCAGGAAUUUCCUUGCAAAAAUGUGAUGUUUCCUUCAAUAAAGCAAAGCAAAGCUUUAAAAUCUUCAUAAAAGCAAUACCCUUCAUUUAUUUGUUAAUAGAACAUUAACAUUAUCUGCCUUAUCCAAAAUAAUUAUUUUCUCAUCCACAGUUCAUAGAAUGAAACACCACCACUUAUUUGAAAUGAGUUUCUGUGUAACUAUUAAAUGAAUUAAUUUUUCUCUUUGGACCUUUUCAAAGUAUUGUCAUAACAUCAGUUGUUUUAAUGAAUUUGGUAGAUAGAUAAUUUCACGGUAGAUUAUUUAGUUCAUUAUUUAAUUUAUUUUACUUUUUAUUCUAUUUUUUUGCCAGAGAGGACAACUAACUGCAAAAUUAGCACAAAUUUUUAAAUUUUUUCCUUGGAUGUAGUUGAUCUCUAAGUAAUUGUUUGCUGUAUUUACAUGAGAUCUAUUCUUUCAUAUCUCUAGAGCUGCUGCUGCCCACUACACCAGCUGCUACUCACAUGGGAUUAUUGAAAUUUGUUCAAAUGAAAUGAUAUUAGAAGUUCAGUACCUUGGUCACACUAGACAAAUACCAUGUGCUCAAUAACCGUAUGUGGUUUGUGGCUGUCCUAUCGGACCUCACAGAUAGAGAACGUUUCCAUCAUCACAACAGUUCUGUUGGACAGUGCUGGUCUAGAUCAAGGUCGGAAAACUUUUUUCUCAAAGAGCUAGAUAGUAAGUAUUUUAGAAUUAACAAGCCAAGAGGCAAAAUUGAGGUUACUAUUUAGGUACUUUAUAAGUAUUUGAAAAAUAGAUCCAUUUAAAAAUGGCAAAACCAUUCUUGAGGGCUGUAACAAGCUCGCACAGGCUGGGUUUGAACCAUAGUUUGCGCCCCUCACCCCCCCACCGGAGCAAAUCAUUCCAUCCUUUAUUCACGAUCACAUCUUUGUUGAGUGUGUGUAUGUUUUAAACACUGGGCUAAAUAGUAAGUAGAGCGUAGUGAACAAUAAAGCAUAGUCCAGCCCCUGUGAGUUCUGAAUGUAACAGGAAAAGCACUAUAUCAAAAAUUACACAAUAAUUAAUUAUUGUAAUUUAACAAAUAAAAUGAAGGAGACAAACAGGAUGUUGUGAAAGGGAGUAUCAGAGGAACCUACGCUGCUGUAAAAGAUUGACUUGAUUCUAAAAAUUAUCUGCAACUAAUAUUAAAAUUACAUUUAUUGGUGUUUGGUGUUUUAUUUUCCUCUAUUAGAAAUUUUUAUAGGAAUAAAAGUGUAUAAAUUAAAUGUUUCCUUGUAACCAUAAGAACUUGCCACAGAUUAACUCCUGAAAUGACCCCAAUUUCCUAUUAAUUGUUUAUAUCAAAAUUCAAAUUGAGGCUUUCAUUAAACAAAAUAAUGUGAUACACAUAAAA